GUGACAAACGAUGCUAACACGAGUCCCUGGUGCUUUCAACAACCUCCGGGGCACCAAUGGUUGAUCCCAGUGAUGUCUCCUUCUGAAGGACUUGUAUACAAGCCAUUUCCUGGACCUGGAUUUACGAGUCCUAUUAAUGGAGGUUGUGGACCUCCAGGGUCGAUGGGGAACUUUUUUCCUCCAGCUAUUGGAGUUCCUGGUCCUCAUCCUCGCUAUCAAGGAAUGGGAGUUCCUUUCGCGCCUCCAACUGGUCACGGCUAUUUUCCUCAUUAUAGCAUGCCAGUUAUGAAUCCACCAAUCUC
RNAcentral lists this long non-coding RNA (302 nucleotides) under Nicotiana tabacum (common tobacco). RNAcentral's name for it is "long non-coding RNA (NTAB_LNC015785)". The record is from RNAcentral. Lineage: Eukaryota; Viridiplantae; Streptophyta; Magnoliopsida; Solanales; Solanaceae.